AAGUCGAACGAAGUAGCAAUACUUAGUGGCAGACGGGUGAGUAACAUGUGGGUAUCUUCCCUAUGGUGAGGAAUAACACGAGGAAACUUGUGCUAAUACCUCAUAAGUCUUUACGGAGAAAGCUUUAUGCGCCAUUGGAUGAGCCCGCACUUGAUUAGUUUGUUGGUAGGGUAACGGCCUACCAAGACUGUGAUCAAUAGCUGAUUUGAGAGGAUGAUCAGCCACAUUGGGACUGAGACACGGCCCAAACUCCUACGGGAGGCAGCAGUAAGGAACCUUGCACAAUGGAGGAAACUCUGAUGCAGCGAUGCCGCGUGAGUGAAGAAGGCCCUUGGGUUGUAAAGCUCUUUCGUCGGGGAAGAAAAUGACUGUACCCGAAUAAGAAGGUCCGGCUAACUUCGUGCCAGCAGCCGCGGUAAUACGAAGGGACCUAGCGUAGUUCGGAAUUACUGGGCUUAAAGAGUUCGUAGGUGGUUAAAAAAGUUGGUGGUGAAAUCCCAGAGCUUAACUCUGGAACUGCCAUCAAAACUUUUUAGCUAGAGUAUGAUAGAGGAAAGCAGAAUUUCUAGUGUAGAGGUGAAAUUCGUAGAUAUUAGAAAGAAUACCAAUUGCGAAGGCAGCUUUCUGGAUCAUUACUGACACUGAGGAACGAAAGCAUGGGUAGCGAAGAGGAUUAGAUACCCUCGUAGUCCAUGCCGUAAACGAUGUGUGUUAGACGUUGGAAAUUUAUUUUCAGUGUC
Molecule: ribosomal RNA, 740 nt
Filed under: uncultured marine bacterium
Lineage: Bacteria
Description: bacterial SSU rRNA
Rfam family: Bacterial small subunit ribosomal RNA
Source: RNAcentral